RNAcentral lists this long non-coding RNA (482 nucleotides) under Lathyrus oleraceus (garden pea). Its description in RNAcentral is "Pisum sativum (pea) long non-coding RNA (PSAT_LNC011463)". The record is from RNAcentral. Lineage: Eukaryota; Viridiplantae; Streptophyta; Magnoliopsida; Fabales; Fabaceae.
AAAAAUAUCACCCAACCCCUCUUCUCUAAACCUAAAUCAAAACCAAAAAACCUUUCCCUCCCAAAAGUCACCACCACCAACUUUUUUUUUCAUUUCACAUUUUUUCCUCAAAAUUUCUCACUCUCUAACACUCAUAACCCAACCCCUUUACUAAGCUUUCACCACAAAUAUUUUCAUUCCAAACCCCUUGCUUCACAUUCAAGCUUAACACCAUUUCUACCUAGCUUUUUUUCACAUUUUUGUGGGUAAUGAUUUUAACUUAAACUUUUUAACUUUUUUGUUUCUUUUUUUGAUUAAAAAUGGUUGCUUGUUCUUAGUUGGUCUUUUGAGAUGGUUUAGAUUAAAGCUUGCAAAAAAAUGAUUAACUUUGGUUUACUCACAUUUUUUAAAGAUUUUUUACUCUUACUAUCUUUUUUCACCUUUUUGUGGUUGCUUUGUGUGUGUUAUCAUUUUCUUUUAUUAUGGACUUGUUGUUGUAUUUG